Hirundo rustica (Barn swallow) is the source of this 5033-nucleotide long non-coding RNA. RefSeq lists it as uncharacterized. The record is from RefSeq and is a predicted model, not a curated record. The transcript is spliced from 3 exons. Lineage: Eukaryota; Metazoa; Chordata; Aves; Passeriformes; Hirundinidae.
UGAAAAACAGCUGAUAUAGUCACACCUGAGCAGAGGUAGGGGAGGAAAAACUUGUCACACAGGUGAACCAGCGUGGGUGGAAAUUUCCUUUGGGAGGAAGGGGCUUGGACAAAAAUCAAUCCAGUGAGGAUCAGUUGCAUGAGGACAUCCCGAUCCUUUCCUGCAGUCUUCCUGUGCUGUUCUCUGCCUGGCAAAGCCCCAGCAGCAGCCCCCGGGCAACGUGGCACGUGUAGUGGAAACGACUUUGGCUGACUGGGAUGCUUUUGCAGGGAGUCCAGGUGCUGCGCACAGUACAGCGGGGAGGAGAAGACGCCUCCGGAUGGAAGUUAGCGAUCGCUUCCUCCUCCCCCUUUUCUCCUGAGCCCAGCAAUUCAGUGGUUGUGUCAGCACAACUUGAUAGCAUGGGGAUAGAGAGAAGCUGGAGCCUCCAGAGCACAAAGCAAAAGCCCCAGUUUGCUCUCAGUUGCCUGUUUGCAGGAAAUCCUGUCUCCUGGUGACAAAGGGAGAAAAGGAGCUGCAUGGGGAGGAUACCACAGGACAACUCCUUCAGGGGGAGGGUGGAUGCUUUCUUCUCUGCAUUGGACAUUUGUACACCAACUCGGCCUGCCCUGAUGUCUCUGCAUGGGCAAUCUUGCCCUUAGCACGGGUCUUCCUGGCUUUUCCCAGGGAUCUUGAGAGCUGGUCAUCCCCAGGCUGCCUUUCCAGGGCAGAGUCUGUAACAGCAUGGGCUGUGGUGCAGGUCUCAUUCUUUUCCUCAGUUUGCCCUGCAACAGGAUGUGCUGGUCGCUGCAGUCAGGUUAAAGGCCGGUAAACUGCCCUUUGGCCGAGGUAGAUUUAAAGGUCUAAGGGCAGCAAUGCUCAAAAAAAUACCUCCUCUCUUGGUAGGAGAUGUGGGUGAGAAAUUCUGUCUUGGUGCUGGCGCUGGGAUGGCAGCCUUAGUGGGAGACGGCCCUGCCUGCAUUAGUCAUGGUGGUGGAGGGGAAACCUGUAACAUAAAAAUAUAAAUUAUAUGUGUUCAGUAGAUAGAUAAACAUCUCUUCUACCAGCACUGUAAAUCAGGCCUAUUCCCCCACCUCCUCCCAGAUUUUACCAGCCUAAUCUGGACUUUUCUGUGCAGUAUUUAUUUUUCAUCACUAAGUCUUGAAGGAAUUGCAUUUUCAAGCAACCAGUGACUUCUUUUUUCUAAAAAAAGUUUUGUUUUCCCCUGAAGUCAGCUCAGAGCACCUGUCUCUUGGAAAACCAGGCCCCUUUAAGAUGUCUCAGGCUGCUUUGAAUCACUAAUUGCUUCUGAAUAGGCAGGCCAAAUGUUUUAUCACUUCCAACUCCCAUAGCAAUGCAAAUCUAUACAGCUGAGAAGCCUCUUUCCAUGCAUGGGGGUGAUGGGUAAAGAUAAGGAUUAAAAAUAGAGACAAAUCCAACCCAGGGGUCCUCUUUGUUCCUCCCUGCCCUGCGUGGGGUUGCCAGGGCUACAUUUGUUCCCCUGCAUCGUUUUUGGAUGAGAUCCAGUGCCCCUUGAAUGCAAAGUUGAGAGGUACAGUGUCGGGAGAGGGCUGGAUGAGGUCCUAGGUACAUACAUAUUUCAUUGCCCAUGCCAGGCUCCGUAUUGUUUUCUCUCUCUGGUUUCACAGAGGUGGUGUUUUCUAAAACUCUCACUUGUUGAGGGCCACACAGUCCAGGCUUCAUCCUGUCUAAGGUUUCUGCCUUUUCAGUUGUUUCCCACUCUGAAUGGCAGCCAGGCCUCUUUCCCAUGCCUGAGGGGAAAAGGGGGGUGCUUGGGUGGACAACAGGACUCCCCAGAGUGCUGUUUGGGGGGGGCCUCCAUGUGCGGUGGCAUGUCCCCCUCGGGGCUGCUGUGUGUGCUUUGGGCUCGGCUGAAUCACACACUGCAGGAGAUGAGCAGCGCUUUGCAGAGCCUCACUUCUUUAAGUAACCCACAGCCUGAAGGCAAAUAUUGACUAUUAAGAGGUGGAAAAUCUCGGUGAGCAAGGGCAGUCUAAAUCCUCCUUUUUGCUUAGGUCACCUGUUAUUAGAGCUGCCUGCCGUGUGCUGAGUGCGGCUGUGCUCAAAAAUUGCCAGGAGCUCAGCAUUAUGGAAGCAAAAGCCAGUUUACUGACUUUCCAAUAGAAAGGAAGAUGCAUGCUGAAUGUGCAUCUGUUGGAUGAUAUUUCUGUUUCAGGCAUGCCACUAACAUACAAAUUGCAAACAACUUUGCACGAUUUAUGUAGUGACUAGGAAAACCUGGGUUAAGUGAUGCUUUGUAGGGUAUUGGGCACUAUUUAUUCUUAGGAGAGAAGGUUAUGAAAUCUAUUUUCUAUUUAUCUCCCCAAAUGAAUUCCAGUUGACAUUUACCUAUCCUAUUCGAGUACUCUGGACGUGGAGAGCAGAUAAAUAUCCUGACAAAUCACACCUUCAUGUAAAAUCGAUAGCUAAUAAGAAAUCAGUCCCUUGAAGAUGAUAGGAAUUUAUCUUUAAAAUUAAAAUAAAGACUGCAAAAGUUUGUCAAAGAGGAAAACAAAAACAAAAAAAUCUCUGUUCUUCUUUGUUUAGGUAUUUUUUAUGUGUUUCAGGUGCACAUAGGACCCAGUUACGACUUGCUCAACUAAGGAUAACUAUUGUUAUCUUCGUUGUACUUUUUUAAAAGAGACACUGCUUUCCCACCAGACUGGGAUUUCCAGGGAGGCACAGAGGAACCAGAAUGAUUUUAGGCCUUCUAUCCUGUUCUCCAAAGACUUUUGACUCAACAGGACUGAAACUCAGGCUUAAAUUCUGCAGGGGUUUAAAUCUUCGGUGUUGGGUUCCAGCCCAGGAUUAAUUAUCUUGCUGAUCUGAGGUCUUCAUACAUAACCUUAGUCUUCCUGGUAGUGAAAAAUAAUUAACAGGAAAGGUUUUGAGUAUAAAAAGGACAAUUGGAAACUAGAAAGCUUGCUUGUACUUUACAAGCUUACUUUACAAGAGGUGGCCUUGGAUGUCCAAGUCAGCACCAAAAGCAGUCCAGGCUUGGGACUCUCCUUAUUCCUGCCCAAGGUCCCCACCUGGGUACCAGCGAGGCCCAGAGCGGUUGCAAGACUGUGCUCUGCUCUGACACCUGGCACCAGCAGAGUGAGGUGUGGGAGAGAACCUCCAGUGCUGGUGGUGUGAGAGGGCUGUGAGGCUGAAGAUGUGGGGCUGGCUGUGUAAUGGGGGCAGUUCUGAGAGCACAACCUGGCAGGUGGCUUCUGAGGCAUGGGGUUGGAAAAGCAAUUAGGGGCCAAUGGGAAUGGCACAGGUCGAGAGCAGGAAAAGGUGUCCUAAAGGGUGGAAGCUGUGCCAGACUCAGGUGCCCUUCCAGCUCAAAACUGGGAGCCCAGGCAGGGAAGGAGGGGGAAAAGCUGGAGCAAGAACCAGAAAAACCUGCUCCCACCAGCCCGGGGUUCACAUUACUCACACUGCUUUAAAACAGGUCAGGUUUGCUUUGGUUUCCAAUCAAAGAUGGCCAGACUGCCUGAGGACUGUUUUCAGCUCAGCUUAGAGCAGUUCCAAGCUCCCGUGUGCCUGCUCACUGUGUCGCUGCCCCCCAUGCCCUCCUACCCAUCAGCAGUGCAAGGCCUUUGCUGGGAUUUAAGCCUUUCUAAGCAAAGGCUGGGCUAGAAGCACGCACAAGGACGUUUCCCAGCUCACCUGAGGGGUGGUAACUGUGAGUGGCGGGGUCACAUCGAGGCACUCUCACCUCCACAAGCUUUGGAGCUCCCACAGCAAGUUUGCUGCUUGAAACUGGAGGGGAGACUGUGCCUGGGGAUGCUCCCCACUGCAGAGGAAGAGUGGUCUGCCUCCUGCAGAUGCUUAUCGGAGGUGAGAAGCUCUUGGCAGUGGUGCGAGCUGUCCUGCUGCAGGUCUCGUCCACAAGCACCAGGGUCAGCCUCGCAUGAUUUAUCAGGUUAUCAUAGUCAGCUUCAACUGGGUGUGAGUAGCAAAGAUGGAACCACAUUUUUGUUGGGAAGAAGGAGGAGAAAAGGAGCUAACAGAGUUAGAGAUCAGAUUGUCAGAGGCUAAUGGCUGUGUCUGCUUAUUAGGCAUCAAUAACAGUAAUUUACCUUUGAAUGCAAUAAUUCAUCAUAAUGCUUCCCACCUACCUCAUGAACCCUUGCUGCUUAUCUCACCGCUCUUGUUCAGGGAUCUGAAAGCAUUUCAUAAACAUUAAUUAAUUAUUCCUCCACACCCCUGGAAGCAAAGUACACAUUAUCCCAAUUUUGCAGCUUGAGAAGCUGAGCUCACCUAAAGAGAUAAUAACUGAGCUGGGGUCAGGAGCACAGAGCGCAGGCCCCUAUCCCAGCUUUGACCAGAAGCACCUUUCUGCAGAGUGCUCUGACACGUGGGCAAUGGGGACGUGAUCCAGGGUAGUUCAGUCCUUCAUCCAUGCACGUUCCUGUGCUUGCCAUUUUAGGAUGGCAGGAGAGGUGUAAAAGGGGUGGGUGUUGCUCCUGCCUCGGAGAGGUCUCACACUCAUCACUAUCUCAUCCCCUUCAAGCCUCCACCACAGGGACCAGACACCUGCCAGUGUGUGAAGCACCUGCCAUUAUUCACAGUAGGACUCUCCCUUUUUUUAAUGACUGCGUUAAUGACCCUAAUCUCUCGGUGUGGAUGUGGUUAAUCCCACAGCUCUAGGGACGAGGAGUUCAGAGACGUUUUCUCUCCCGCCUUCUCUCCCCUCACUUUGCAUCCUAACCUAAUGCAUCAGCACUGAGAUGAGCUGGUGAGACCUGUGCUGAGCAGGAGGCACUGCCCCUGCCCUGGUUUGAAAAUCGGGCUGCUGCGAGUAGAUAUCCAGGAUACAACAGUUACAAAUCACCUCACUCCAAUGUCUCAGCGAAGGGACGUGACAUGUGAGUGACAUCCUGAAACAAGAUGCUUGACGUUGAACCUGUGCUCAAGUGCCUUGAUGGAUCUUGGCCCUUGGGGAACAGGGAGGCUGUCACCCUGGAUAUGGUGACUAAGAUGUAAACUGAGGGGAGGAUAUCCCCUGCAAAUAAUGAGCCUUGGCAGUGGAGGGGAGGACG